This 433-nucleotide ribosomal RNA is filed under the name uncultured bacterium. RNAcentral describes it as "partial 16S ribosomal RNA". It matches the Rfam family "Bacterial small subunit ribosomal RNA", at positions 29 to 507 of the family's 1533-position model. The record is from RNAcentral.
AACGAACGCUGGCGGCAUGCCUAACACAUGCAAGUCGAACGAGACCUUCGGGUCUAGUGGCGCACGGGUGCGUAACGCGUGGGAACCUGCCCUUAGGUUCGGAAUAACUCCCCGAAAGGGGUGCUAAUACCGGAUAAUGUCUUCGGACCAAAGAUUUAUCGCCUUUGGAUGGGCCCGCGUUGGAUUAGCUAGUUGGUAGGGUAAAAGCCUACCAAGGCGACGAUCCAUAGCUGGUCUGAGAGGAUGAUCAGCCACACUGGGACUGAGACACGGCCUAGACUCCUACGGGAGGCAGCAGUGGGGAAUAUUGGACGAUGGGCGAAAGCCUGAUCCAGCAAUGCCGCGUGAGUGAUGAAGGCCUUAGGGUUGUAAAGCUCUUUUACCCGGGAUGAUAAUGACAGUACCGGGAGAAUAAGCUCCGGCUAACUCCGUG